Molecule: ribosomal RNA, 410 nt
Filed under: uncultured candidate division WS6 bacterium
Lineage: Bacteria
Description: bacterial SSU rRNA
Rfam family: Bacterial small subunit ribosomal RNA
Source: RNAcentral
AUGAACAGCUCAUCGAAAGAUGGGAUAAUACAUGAUGGUCUUACAGUUGCUUAGUGCUUCUGUAAAUAAAGUUCCGGCGCUUCAAGAGGGGUCCGCGUCCUAUCAGCUUGUUGGUGAGGUAAUGGCUCACCAAGGCUAAGACGGGUAACUGGCGUGAGAGCGCGGUCAGUCACCAUGGAACUGAGACACGGUCCAUACUCCUACGGGAGGCAGCAAUUAGGAAUCUUGCGCAAUGGGGGCAACCCUGACGCAGCGACACAGCGUGGAGGAUGAAGGUCUUCGGAUUGUAAACUCCUUUUAUAUGGGAAGAAUCAAUGACGGUACCAUAUGAAUAAGCACCUGCUAACUACGUGCCAGAAGCAUCGGUGAUGCGUAGGGUGCGAACGUUAUCCGGAUUUAUUGGGCGUAAA